RNAcentral lists this ribosomal RNA (424 nucleotides) under uncultured bacterium. RNAcentral describes it as "partial 16S ribosomal RNA". It matches the Rfam family "Bacterial small subunit ribosomal RNA", at positions 360 to 776 of the family's 1533-position model. The record is from RNAcentral.
AAUAUUUGACAAUUGGCGAAAGCCUGAUCCAGCCAUGCCGCGUGUGUGAAGAAGGUCUUCGGAUUGUAAAGCACUUUAAGUUGGGAGGAAGGGGUUGAAGCUCAUACCUUCAAUCUUUGACUUUACCAACAGAAUACGCCCCGGCUAACUCUUUGCCAGCAGCCGCGGUCAUACAGAGGGUGGAAGCGGUAAUCGGAAUUACUGGGCGUAAAGCGCGCGUAGGUGGUUCAGUAAGAUGGAAGUGAAAUCCCCGGGCUUAACCUGGGAACUGCUUUCAUAACUGCUGAGCUAGAGUACGGUAGAGGGUAGUGGAAUUUCCUGUGUAGCGGUGAAAUGCGUAGAUAUAGGAAGGAACACCAGUGGCGAAGGCGACUACCUGGACUGAUACUGACACUGAGGUGCGAAAGCGUGGGGAGCAAACAGG